AUCCGCUAUGGAAGUUCAGACGGAGUCCGAUUCUUGUAGAAGGCUGAAAGGAGGCCGCUUAUUAUAGAAGCUCGAUCGAAGAUCGGUUGUCGUGGGAGCUCGGAGUAGUGACCUGACCGAUGGAGCCUGUCCUGUUGUAGAAACUCGUCUGGGAUCCAUCCACUGUAGGAGCUCGGUUGAAGUCUGCCUGUAAUAGAAGUUCGAAAGAAAUUUAUUUAUUGUAGAAGCUCGGAUGGAAUUUGCUUACAGUAGUGA
Molecule: long non-coding RNA, 255 nt
Filed under: Elaeis guineensis (African oil palm)
Lineage: Eukaryota; Viridiplantae; Streptophyta; Magnoliopsida; Arecales; Arecaceae
Description: long non-coding RNA (EGUI_LNC002498)
Source: RNAcentral